Molecule: small RNA, 107 nt
Filed under: Marmota monax (woodchuck)
Lineage: Eukaryota; Metazoa; Chordata; Mammalia; Rodentia; Sciuridae
Source: RNAcentral
GCUGGGUAUGGUGGCACAUGCCUGUAAUCCCAGCAGCUCGGGAGGCUGAGGCAGGAGAAUCACAUGUUCGAAGCCAGCCUCAGCAACUUAGCAAGACCCUGUCUCUC